Molecule: ribosomal RNA, 488 nt
Filed under: uncultured bacterium
Lineage: Bacteria
Description: bacterial SSU rRNA
Rfam family: Bacterial small subunit ribosomal RNA
Source: RNAcentral
GACGAACGCUGGCGGCGUGCUUAACACAUGCAAGUCGAACGAGGUCCACUGCGUAGCAAUACAAGGGAAGACCUAGUGGCGAACGGGUGCGUAACACGUGAGGAACUUGUCCCGGUCUCUGGGAUAACAGUUGGAAACGACUGCUAAUACCGGAUGACGUCGGAAUCUCGCAUGGGAUACUGACGAAAGGGUUACUGGAUCGGGAGAGCCUCGCGGCCUAUCAGCUUGUUGGUGAGGUAACGGCUCACCAAGGCAUCGACGGGUAGCUGGUCUGAGAGGAUGAUCAGCCACACUGGGACUGAGACACGGCCCAGACUCCUACGGGAGGCAGCAGUGGGGAAUCUUGCGCAAUGGGCGAAAGCCUGACGCAGCAACGCCGCGUGCGGGAAGAAGGCCCUCGGGUUGUAAACCGCUUUCAGUAGGAACGAAAAUGAGGUAACCUGCAGAAGAAAGGUGCGGGCCAACUAACGUGCCAGCAGCCGCGGUAA